GAUGAACGCUAGCGGCAGGCCUAAUACAUGCAAGUCGGACGGGAUCCAUCGGAGAGCUUGCUCGAAGAUGGUGAGAGUGGCGCACGGGUGCGUAACGCGUGAGCAACCUACCCAUAUCAGGGGGAUAGCCCGGAGAAAUCCGGAUUAAUACCGCAUACCACUGUAACCUGGCAUCAGGGCACAGUUAAAUAUUUAUAGGAUAUGGAUGGGCUCGCGUGACAUUAGCUAGUUGGUAGGGUAACGGCCUACCAAGGCAACGAUGUCUAGGGGCUCUGAGAGGAGAAUCCCCCACACUGGUACUGAGACACGGACCAGACUCCUACGGGAGGCAGCAGUAAGGAAUAUUGGUCAAUGGAGGGAACUCUGAACCAGCCAUGCCGCGUGCAGGACGACUGCCCUAUGGGUUGUAAACUGCUUUUGUCAGGGAAUAAACCUAUCUAUGUAUAGAUAGCUGAAUGUACCUGAAGAAUAAGGAUCGGCUAACUCCGUGCCAGCCGCCGCAGUAA
This 506-nucleotide ribosomal RNA is filed under the name uncultured bacterium. Its description in RNAcentral is "partial 16S ribosomal RNA". It matches the Rfam family "Bacterial small subunit ribosomal RNA", at positions 28 to 523 of the family's 1533-position model. The record is from RNAcentral.